GGCUCGAGACUCGGCUCCAGAUGAGAUCGGCUUGUGGGUGCUUGCCCAUUCCUUGCCCCCUUUCUCCGCCGCCCCUUGAGGAAAAAUCUGAGACCCAUAAAUCAGUUGGGAGAAGAGUAAGGAGCCGAGUCCGCGAUCCCUGCAAACGUUCUGAUCCCCCAUCCUCUGGAGACGUCCAGGUAGGCCAGGUGGGCGACUGACUUGUGUGUUUGCAAGGUCUUCUAUUCCGGGCAAGAUCUGGCCGCCCGGCUGCUUCCGCGGCCUUUGUUAUUAGUGCCUUAAGGUGAGACUUCGGUGUCUCCACGGGAACAUCUCUGCUGACGAAGUUCAACCUCGUGGGAGGAGCUGCUGCACCAUGUUUCAGCCUGAAAGCUCCCGGUGACUUGUCGUUGACGUCAGCGAUGUCUCCAGUCGCUGCAGGAGUCGGGAGAGUUGCUCACCCAACAAGGUUAAGGAUUCAAGAAUUGGAAAUUCGUCCAAGAAUCAAGCCAGAAUGCCAGACUUGAUCGCAGUUGAUGAGGGGUCAUACUCUUUCAAUCGGUGGCAUCUUAGGGGUAGGACAUGAACAGCAACUUCACAAGACUUUUUCUAGUUCGGCCUCCACCUAUUUCAAAUGUCCAGGUUAAAAGAUAAACUUAAAUAAUCGGCACUGGAUCAGGGCUCUCAGCAAUGGUCUUCCAAGUGAGGUUCCGACCACGACACUCUUUCCCUCUGGGGAAUGUUAAAUGUUCCUUCGCAGAGGUUGCUUUUCUCCCGGUGAUUAUUUCUAGUUAUUUUGUGUAACAGUGGAUGCAAAAAUCAUCUCUCCAGUUGGAUAAAUAGUCUGGGCUCAUGCAUAUGGAACUUUGCACCCCACACUCUAACCUUGGUCGUUAUCAAGUAAAGCCCCCCAAGGCAGGCGCUGAGAGGAUAGGAGCAUUGGGGGAGAGUUCUUACCCCAAGUCAGGAACUCUUCAAGGGGAAGGCCAUUCUCACUCACUCUUCCAAAAAUUCAGGAUUGCCUCUGUAACAGCCUGCAAAAGGUCCUUCCUUUGGCUAUUUAAUUGCUUCUUCCUAAUCAAGUAUCCAUUUUAGCUCUCCAGGUAAAAUCAGUAAAAUCAUGGUGAUUUUAAUCACAGAGUUGAAUCAUUUGUCACGCGUGGGCUGAGUGAAGCAUGAAAAAUUUUUGACUAUACUACCUUACGUAUUAGCUAAUAACUAGUAAAUUCUGCAUCGAUCUUUGGAUCAUAUAGGGUAAAAGCAUCAUUUAAAGAUAAAAUAUUCUUGCCAGAGGCCAUCCUGAAUCUGGAAUUCUAGAAAAUUUAGUGUUAAGGGAUUUAGGGGUGCUCAGGGUGCUUUAAAUUAGCAAAUGCAUGUUUCCAACAACUAUACCGCAACAGGUUAACAUUAAAGAGAAAAAGAGGAUAUAUAGUCAACAAAAUGCUACACCUCUUAGUUUUCUGUGUUAUUUGCUCUACACAUCUGAUGGGGAUGCAAGAACUUGUGCCUUUGCAUUUCAGUGGAGUGCAAUGAGCCGGAAUAUAUUUAGACAUAAAGCAUUGAAGCACAACGCGCGCUGAAGAACUCUUUUAAAGAAUCUGUGUUAAUUGACCAGCGACACCAUUGAAUUAAUGAAGUUACAUUAUGUGUGGUGGAAAAUAUUUACCUUGAGUUCACAUACGGCCCGUUAGGCUCCCAAUCCUUGUUAAUUGGAACAAAACGAGGCAGAAGCAGAAGCUGGGCAGGACCUAAGGGAAUCUAGGUCAUAAAUUCAGUUUCAUUUUGGGCUCAGUUAUCAUUGAGUUGGAAAUUUCCUAUGUGUCGACUGGUGUGCACCUGUCCACGUCCCCAUGUUUGGUCUCAGUUUAAUCUGACAACCGACUUUUGUUUGUUUGUUUAAACCUUCCAGAAAAAAUACCAGCAUCUUAUUGGCCCAUUAUUUAUUUAGUAAAUUUAGAAUACAUGAACAUCAGUGUUUUAAACUGUUUGGUGGACAUUUCACUGACUCAAAGUAGCAGUUUUCAGUUUUACUUAAAUGUGAUCACCAGAGUGAUCUGCCAAUAUUAAUUCAAUCAUGCUGUGUUUGCUUCUAUAAAGAAAGGUCAUCAGAACAUGGAUCGUAUGAUUUGUAUUCAUUUUCCCACAUAGGAAAUUUUAUAGGAAACUGGAGAAGGGUGAGCUCCAACCCAUUCUCUAGCAGGAAGGAUACAACUUAAAAUGGAGUCGCUCGGGUGAAUAAAGAAAAAUGUUAUUCCAUGCUGUGUCUGUGGAAUUGAAUUUCAAGAAUACAUGCCAGUCAACUCUGGAAUGGCUGCUGGUCGCAUAGAUGCAUUUUUAUCUGAGAAAUCUGGAACUUGGAUUAUUUUGAUAAAAGGGACGUAGGAGAGCUGCUGGGAAGACCGCAGCUUCUAAGGAGGUAGAAGCACUUUUGUAAAUGCCCAUAGUCACCCCCGGGGUUCUAAUCCUCCAAUCCUGCCUCAUGGAGUAAACGUGAAGAUUUUAAAUGGAAUCAUGUAAUUUAAAUUCCUCAUUUUUCAAUGCCUUUGUCAACUCCUCCUUGUAGUUUUUGUUUCUUGUUGUUUUUUUUAAACCAUCAACACUUGCAAACUUGUGACGUUCACUUGAAGACUUCAAGAUGCUUGAAAA
This 2625-nucleotide long non-coding RNA is filed under the name Canis lupus familiaris (dog). Its description in RNAcentral is "lncRNA (ENSCAFG00845025557.1)". The record is from RNAcentral. Lineage: Eukaryota; Metazoa; Chordata; Mammalia; Carnivora; Canidae.